RNAcentral lists this unclassified non-coding RNA (214 nucleotides) under uncultured fungus. RNAcentral's name for it is "sequence contains ITS1". The stretch from base 1 to 95 matches the Rfam family "5.8S ribosomal RNA", at positions 49 to 154 of the family's 154-position model. The record is from RNAcentral. Lineage: Eukaryota; Fungi.
UAAAAUGCGAUACGUGGUGCGAUCUGCACAAUGCGAGUCAUCGAGUUUUUGAAUGCAUCUUGCACCCCUUCUGGGGUAUGCCUGUGUGAGGGCACAACAACAAUCUCAAUGGGGUUUAUGCUCUUGAAGGCCGGCCGGUGCCUGUGACAAACAGAAAGUUCUGGCACCAUAUCCACCAUGCCUCACAUCAGACAAGACUACCCGCUGAACUUAA